Lolium perenne is the source of this 695-nucleotide long non-coding RNA. RefSeq lists it as uncharacterized. NCBI's taxonomy places the organism in Eukaryota, Viridiplantae, Streptophyta, Magnoliopsida, Poales, Poaceae. The record is from RefSeq and is a predicted model, not a curated record.
UUCUCUUGUGUAAGUUUAUUUAAAUGAAAUGUGAUUCUAUAUAUCUAUUACGUAUUCUCAGAAUAUUCUAAGGUUUAUAUAGCAAAUUAAAAGAUUCAUGAAAAUAAUUGAAAUCUUUCUGAAGCUUUUGUCAGGACACUUUCCUCUCGACAUCUCGACACUUUCCUAUCACUAGUUCUACCAUUUUGGUGUCACCUUGAUUCUUAACUGCUUUUGUUCAUCUUAGCUAACAGCGACAGGAAUUCUGAAGCUUACAAAUUAACCAUGAUAGUGUGGCUCGCGGUGCAUUGAAAAAUACAUGUCUUGGUUAUCUUUGUCACUGAUCUUACAAUGAAUGAAUACAACUCUGCUACUAAUAUGACCGAGCAGUUUGCUACCUUAACAUCAUUAUCUCAAAACUCAGUUCAAGUUUGAGACGAUGCCCUUUUGGAGUUCUAUAACAAGUGGCAUAAUGACUAUUUGGUAUACUCUUCAAUUGGAGGAUUCUGCGGGUCAUUUGUCAGUUUCCAUGCAAAAGAUGGUUCUGGUUACAAGUUCUUGGGUGAGGUUGUCUUAUAGAUCAAGAAAAUAAAUCCUCGGGUUUGUUUCAUAUUGCUUGGUGAAUAAAGGCCUUGCUUCCAUUUAUUGUUUCAGUCUGGUUACAAGUUCUUGGGUGAGGUUGUCUUACAGUUGCGCAUCAUUGUUAAAUUUAGUUU